GAUGAACGCUAGCGAUAGGCUUAACACAUGCAAGUCGAGGGGCAGCAUGGUGAGUAGCAAUACCCACCGAUGGCGACCGGCGCACGGGUGAGUAACGCGUAUGCAACUUACCUAUCAGUGAGGGAUAGCUCGGCGAAAGUCGGAUUAAUACCUCAUAACACAUGUUAACUUCAUGGUUUUCAUGUUAAAGAUUUAUUGCUGAUAGAUAGGCAUGCGUUCCAUUAGGCAGUUGGCGGGGUAACGGCCCACCAAACCAACGAUGGAUAGGGGUUCUGAGAGGGAGGUCCCCCACACUGGAAAUGAGACACGGUCCAGACUCCUACGGGAGGCAGCAGUGAGGAAUAUUGGUCAAUGGGCGCGAGCCUGAACCAGCCAAGUCGCGUGAAGGAUGACAGAUCUAUGGUUUGUAAACUUCUUUUAUACGGGAAUAAAGUGCAGGA
RNAcentral lists this ribosomal RNA (440 nucleotides) under uncultured bacterium. Its description in RNAcentral is "SSU rRNA". It matches the Rfam family "Bacterial small subunit ribosomal RNA", at positions 28 to 458 of the family's 1533-position model. The record is from RNAcentral.